This 630-nucleotide ribosomal RNA is filed under the name Salmonella enterica. Its description in RNAcentral is "partial 23S ribosomal RNA". It matches the Rfam family "Bacterial large subunit ribosomal RNA", at positions 640 to 1269 of the family's 2925-position model. Lineage: Bacteria; Pseudomonadati; Pseudomonadota; Gammaproteobacteria; Enterobacterales; Enterobacteriaceae. The record is from RNAcentral.
GCAAGGUUAACCGAAUAGGGGAGCCGGAGGGAAACCGAGUCUUAACCGGGCGUUAAGUUGCAGGGUAUAGACCCGAAACCCGGUGAUCUAGCCAUGGGCAGGUUGAAGGUUGGGUAACACUAACUGGAGGACCGAACCGACUAAUGUUGAAAAAUUAGCGGAUGACCUGUGGCUGGGGGUGAAAGGCCAAUCAAACCGGGAGAUAGCUGGUUCUCCCCGAAAGCUAUUUAGGUAGCGCCUCGUGAAUUCAUCUCCGGGGGUAGAGCACUGUUUCGGCUAGGGGGCCAUCCCGGCUUACCAACCCGAUGCAAACUGCGAAUACCGGAGAAUGUUAUCACGGGAGACACACGGCGGGUGCUAACGUCCGUCGUGAAGAGGGAAACAACCCAGACCGCCAGCUAAGGUCCCAAAGUCAUGGUUAAGUGGGAAACGAUGUGGGAAGGCCCAGACAGCCAGGAUGUUGGCUUAGAAGCAGCCAUCAUUUAAAGAAAGCGUAAUAGCUCACUGGUCGAGUCGGCCUGCGCGGAAGAUGUAACGGGGCUAAACCAUGCACCGAAGCUGCGGCAGCGACGCUUAUGCGUUGUUGGGUAGGGGAGCGUUCUGUAAGCCUGUGAAGGUGUGUCGUGAGGC